RNAcentral lists this transfer RNA (67 nucleotides) under Sphaerodactylus townsendi. RNAcentral describes it as "tRNA-Ala". The record is from RNAcentral. Lineage: Eukaryota; Metazoa; Chordata; Lepidosauria; Squamata; Sphaerodactylidae.
GGGGCUCAGCGGGAGAGCAUCUGCGUUGCAUGUUAGAAGGUCCCAGGUUCAACUCCGGGGGUCUCCA